RNAcentral lists this long non-coding RNA (333 nucleotides) under Heterocephalus glaber (naked mole-rat). Its description in RNAcentral is "lncRNA (ENSHGLG00000048666.1)". Lineage: Eukaryota; Metazoa; Chordata; Mammalia; Rodentia; Bathyergidae. The record is from RNAcentral.
GCCAGACUAUCCAAGGCCGCGGGCUCUGUCUCCAGCACAGCGAUCAUCGGUGUUGGCCGAGGUGGGGUGGACGGCCCUGUCCCGCAAAUGUCCGUCCAUGGACCAUUCACCAGUUGCUGGAUGCUGGAGAUGCAGAUGAGGACCCAGGGUUGCUGGCUUCAUGGCCCUCAGAUGCUAGAGGGAAACACAGACAAUAAACAGGUGAACAAGGAAGCUACUAAUAAUAUCAUUGCAGUAGGUGAUAAAGAACAGGAGGAAAAUAAAGCAGUGCUUGUAGAGAGAGCCCUGUGGGGGGAUUUCCUGGUAAUCAAGCAAGGCCUUUCUGAGCCAUGA